RNAcentral lists this RNase P RNA (384 nucleotides) under Arthrobacter psychrochitiniphilus. RNAcentral's name for it is "Bacterial RNase P class A". It matches the Rfam family "Bacterial RNase P class A". Rfam says of the family: Ribonuclease P (RNase P) is a ubiquitous endoribonuclease, found in archaea, bacteria and eukarya as well as chloroplasts and mitochondria. Lineage: Bacteria; Bacillati; Actinomycetota; Actinomycetes; Micrococcales; Micrococcaceae. The record is from Rfam by way of RNAcentral.
UAGGGCAGUUGGGCAACCGCGCGUCACGUAAGUGGCUCGAGGAACGUCCGGGCUCCGCAGAACGGGGUGGUGGGUAACGCCCACUCGGGGUAACCCGCAGGAAAGUGCCACAGAAAGUAGACCGCCGGCACGGUUCGCAAGGACUGUUGCCGGUAAGGGUGAAACGGUGGUGUAAGAGACCACCAGUUCCCCAGGUGACUGGGGAAGCUCGGUAAACCCCACCCGGAGCAAGGCCAGACAGGGCAUGAUUGAGGGCUGUUCGCCCGAGUGCCUGGGUAGGCUGCUAGAGGGCGUCGGCAACGGCGUCCGUAGAUGGAUGGUUGCCUCUUUGCCGCAGGUAACUGCGGCGGACGACAAAACCCGGCGUACAGACUGCCCUAUCCA